RNAcentral lists this ribosomal RNA (445 nucleotides) under uncultured bacterium. RNAcentral's name for it is "partial 16S ribosomal RNA". It matches the Rfam family "Bacterial small subunit ribosomal RNA", at positions 354 to 796 of the family's 1533-position model. The record is from RNAcentral.
GUGAGGAAUAUUGCGCAAUGGAGGCAACUCUGACGCAGCCAUGCCGCGUGCAGGAAGAAGGCGCUACGCGUUGUAAACUGCUUUUAACCGGGAAGAAACCCCAGGACGUGUCCUGGGUUGACGGUACCGGAGGAAUAAGCACCGGCUAACUUCGUGCCAGCAGCCGCGGUAAUACGCAGGGUGCAAGCGUUAUCCGGAUUCAUUGGGUUUAAAGGGUGCGUAGGCGGAGCGUUAAGUCAGUGGUGAAAUCCUGCAGCUUAACUGUAGACUUGCCAUUGAUACUGGCGCUCUUGAGUGCGCUUGAAGUGGGCGGAAUGUGCCGUGUAGCGGUGAAAUGCUUAGAUAUGGCACAGAACACCAAUUGCGAAGGCAGCUCACUAAGGCGAUACUGACGCUGAGGCACGAAAGCGUGGGGAUCGAACAGGAUUAGAUACCCCUGUAGUCC